CAAAUUAUUUUCAUUGUGAAUGGUGAUGAGGGAAAUCUCUAGCAUAUAUAAGUAUCUCAAAAAUGCACUGAUGGCACCUUCUGAUGUGGCAUAAUUCUAACUUCAGAAUCCUUAUAAGCUUUUAUCGGUAGAAACAGUUUAAAAAAAAAAUCUGGCACAGGAUAUGUCUUUUUUCACAAAGUGAGAGAGUAGAACAAGUACUACUCUACUUUUCUUUUUCUCUACUCUUAAGCCAGAAUCAAUGAACUGACAAGGAACACUUGGCUUAAGGAUUUGGGAAAUAGCAGAUUUAGGAAAUGAGGAAUUCUUAUAAAAUCCAUGCUUGAAAAGAAGUUUAAUUUAGAAUAAAUUGUGGAAAAAGUACAGCCCAAUCUGAAGAAAAAAGGAUGGAGGAAGAUUUGAAAGAGGAACUUCUAACCUUAUUGACUUCUUGGCUUUGAGUUUAAAUGUCAUUAGUCAAAAGACAGAGCCCUGGGGACAUUAGCCAGGAAACACAUAAAUGAGCUCAAGGAGAAAACAUGUGUUGGGGCAUGGGGAAAAUAAGGUGAUACCAAGUGGAGGUGAUACCAAGGAGAGAGGACAAGUCAUGAAAAGUCAGGGCAGUAAUAGUCUGAUUAUGUUUAAAGUGGUGUGUACAUCAGGACACUGAAAAAGAUAAGGAAACCUUUAGGGCCAAAGUGGAACAGAACUAUAGAACCAAACAGCAUAAGGGACUCACAGGUAAGAAUCAUAACAUCAUUAAAAAGAUCUAUCAUGUGUACUUUAAAGAGGAAUUUCUUUUGAGAGCUCUUCCCUUCCAUAGUUAUUCUACAAUUAAAGAGUCUAAGGUAAAUAGACUUCCUCUGGUCUUCAUUUUUGGUUUACUUCACACUAGUAGAUUACAAAAUCUUGUGGUUUAGCCAAUGCCCAGGGAUACACUUAGAUGAUCAAUAAAUACCUGCCAUUUGACAUCUGGGUUACGGCAAAAGUUUCAUAAUAGAGUUAAAAUUUCCUUUCUAACAUAGUUUAAAAGGCUUCUUUAUUUCAAGAGGGUAGAAAAUAUUAAGAAAAAACCCCUGAAUUGAAAAAAAGGGGACAGUUUUUCCAGUUAAGGAAGAACUAAAUAUUAGCCGAGAACUCAAAGAUUUCAGAAGUCAGUCCUGCUCUAUUUGACUCUGUCUUUGUAAAGAGUGCUCUGUAUAUUCUCAGAGACAGAAAGGAAAGAUUAUCUGUCAUGUAGGAUACAAAUCAUGCCUACUCAGGAAUGCUGUCUUAAUAGUAAAUCAGUAGAAAUUAUUGCCUAGAAGAAGAUAUUAUUCAUUUUCAACAAGCUAUCAUUUGCAGGUGAGAACAUAUUUAUCUUAUUAAUAUGUACAGUACAAGUGUAAUUCACCUUACCAAAGUGUUUAUGUUCAGCCCUAGACAAAAUGGGUAUCUUCAUAGUUCCCUCUUUCUGUUUGAACAACCGCUUUUAAGACUUUUUCACUCUUCAGGUCACCCAACCCAUCCAUCCUCUGUUCUAAAUAAAUUUGAGUUUGCAUUUCCACACCCAGUCCUCACUUCAAGUCUAAUACACUGGCUUGUUUGUACCUAAAUACAUAAAACUCAAUCUAUCUUUUCACAUGUCAACCCACUAAAGUUUAUGUCUCCUGUGUCCUUGGUUGGAAGGAAAUCCCAGGUUAUGAUGAAUAGAUCCAGGCUAAGCUGUUAAGACCUGAUAAUGGAAGCUAGUGCCACUCCUCUUAAUAUUUUGAUCAGGGGAUUAUUCCUUGACUGCAAGGUGGAAUUAGGGUUAUCUGUGGCAAACUAGUGCAGGAAACUUUUUGUUGCAGAAAUUUAGGAAAAGACCAUCUUUCACAAGGAGGCUGUGCAGAAUGCUGCUCAUCUAUUUCAAAGGGAUUCAUUUUUAAAAAGAGUAAAAGAAGGCAGUGGCAAUUGUAUUUCAAAUGUAAAGUUGUAUUCUAUAACCAUCUGAAAAUAAACUCAGGGGUCAUUAGUAGUUUAACCAUUUGGGGCCUGAAAUUGUGAGUUACUUCCUGGUAAGUUUCCUGUACCAGCAAACUUACUAAGGCAUUAGUCAAAAUACUUCUGUCUUUUUUUUCCCCCCUAGGGCAUACCCAUGGCAUAUGGAGGUUCCCAGGCUAGGGGUCUAAUCGGAGCUGUAGCUGCUGGCUUACACCACAGCCACAGCAACUCGGGAUUCGAGCCGUGUCUGCGACCUACACCACAGCUCACAAUCUGGAGUUGCUGUGGCUCUGGCGUAGGCCGGCAGCAACAGCUCCUAUUAGACCCCCUAGCCUGGUAACCCCCAUAUGCUGCAAGUAUGGCCCUAAAAAGACAAAAAGACCAAAAAAAAAAAAAAAAGAAGGAAAGAAAAUAUGACUAAUAGCUAAGAUAUUUUGAGCACUCAUCCAUACCAACAUAUUAGAUACAUAGUUUGUAUAUUCAUUUCAUUUACUCAUUUAACAAAACUAUGUGCCAUACUCUUUACAUAUACCACUGUUUUUCAUCCUCACAGAAAUCCCAUAAAGUAGUAAUUAAUAUCAUUUUAUGGUCAAUGAAAGGAAGGCUCAGAGAGGUGAAAAAAUCUGCCCAAGAUCAACUAACCAGCAAGCUAGAGAAGGGACAUAAAGCCAUGUCAAAUGAUUCCAAAGUCUAUGAUCCAAAUAUCCAUGCAAUGCUGUUUAUUUGUGGAGAUUUAAGGAAUCUGGCAGUUAGAAUUCAAUUGUUAACAGUGCAUACUCUUAGGAUAGAUGAUGAUGGUAACAGGUAGGAUAAACUGCCUAGGCUGGAGACUGGAGAGAUGAACUGCAAUGAUGAGAAAAAAUUAGGGAAGAUGCUGCAUAGGCACUGACAAGAUGGAGAGGUUACUGCUUGCUAUGUGUGAUAAUAGAUAAUAACCCUGGGCUUGUGGAAUAUGACUCACAGCUCAUUCUGGUACAAAGUUCCAAACCAGAUGUAAUUUCGCUUUUCUCCAAACACAAAUCAGAACGGUGAUUAACUUGAGAUACAGGCCUGCUCUCAUGUGGACCUGAAGCUCUGAGACAGUAUCAGAUGCUCCAGGUCUAGCUUUGGGCCUCAUCAAGCCAAAGGUCCCAGGUGUGUAUCACCAGAAUGUCUCCUGGCUGCCUAUUCUGAAUCUGGCUAAUACCUGGCCAGACUAAAAAUGUAUCCUCCACAGACAGUGCUUGUUCAAAGAUCAGUAGAGGGUUAUACAUAUUGGCUCACAUUCUGAAUGGCCUGUAGCUGCUCCUUAGGAGACAGCAUCAGAAAUGGAGCUGUCAAUCAUGGAGGAACCUUCUAGAGUAGAAGAUGCCAGCCUGUGAAGUGAGACCUGCCUGGGGGAGUGGUAGUUAGGAUGUCUGUCAGUGUGUGAUGCACCAAUCUAAGAGUUGCUAAUAAUGUGGAUUCCCUUCAAACUAUGGUUCAUGCUUCCUUGGGAAGGUUAUGGUAUGUAACAACUUCAAUAAAAGGACAAAUGUAACAACAAUAACAACAAAAGCAGCAACAGCUAACUGUUAUUAAACAGUUAUGAUGGGCAAGGAACUCUUUUUAAGUGCUUUACAUCUAUUAACUGGUAUCAUAAAGAUACAUAUAUAGAGAUGUAUAGAGAAUAUAUAAGCAUAGACAUCAGCUUAUCAAAUUCACAUUAAUCUUCAUAUAUAGCCUAUGUCCAAAUAAUCCAGUUAUCAGACAGGAUCCCGGAAACCUGAACACUGGCAUUCUCGGGUUCCAGGUUGUAGGAAAUUUGUGCCUGUAAACAUGUGACAAAACAUAGUAUAGAAUUGUAACAAAACUUUUAGAAUUUUCUAACAUUGGACUGGGCAGGAAUCAGUUCAAUUUAGAGAAGGCAUUCCAUGUUUAGAAUUAGAGAACUUAAAACCCAAGAUCAUCUUUUAACCCAAAGUAAAUUUUGAGGGAAAAUUGUUGGUUGAGAAGUCGCAUCAUCAAUUCACGCUGGAAGGAUACUUGGGAGGAUUCAAAAAUUAAGAAAAUCAGUUCUAAUAAAUGGAUGUUUGUGAAAAGGAAAUAAAUUGCUCCAAUUAUCUGACAAGCAUGAAGAGUACUGGCAGCUAAAUGAAAUGUUUUAUUGGCCUCUCACCUACUCAACAACUAAUAUUUCUUCUUGUACUUCAUGUCACCCACUUCCAAAGGAGUCAUCUAAAAAUACUGUUUGAUUCAUAUCCACGUAGGAAACAUGGCUCUUGGAUUCAGACAUCAAGGCUCUAAUGUUCUAGGACACAGCUCAGGAGAAAAGGAGACAGUGCUUCCCUGUUGCAUUGGCAAGGUUUCUUUGCAAUCCCAGUCAAAAUUAAAUCAUGCCAAUGGCAGUCUUCUAAUUUCUCUAUCAAUAGAACAUAUUUUAUAGUCUUACUCU
RNAcentral lists this long non-coding RNA (4357 nucleotides) under Sus scrofa (pig). RNAcentral's name for it is "lncRNA (ENSSSCG00040030892.1)". The record is from RNAcentral. Lineage: Eukaryota; Metazoa; Chordata; Mammalia; Artiodactyla; Suidae.